RNAcentral lists this long non-coding RNA (1131 nucleotides) under Musa acuminata (dwarf banana). RNAcentral describes it as "long non-coding RNA (MACU_LNC007005)". The record is from RNAcentral. Lineage: Eukaryota; Viridiplantae; Streptophyta; Magnoliopsida; Zingiberales; Musaceae.
UUGCUUUAAUAGGGCUUGGUUUCCUUGCAGUGCUCAUAUAGAUACUUGCCUAUUGACAACUUCAACUUGAAAUGCUUGUCAAGUAGGCUGUACCUAAAUAUUUCAAAUUUUCUAUUGCACUAACCUUGUUUGUGCUGAAAUUUAGAUGGAUGAAUUUAUUUACUUUCUAAACAGUAAUAAAAACAUUGAUAUACUUGGAGAAAUAUAUAUAUUCAAGUGCUUAAUGAUCCAUUUUAACUGAUCUUUUGUUUUUAAAAAUCACAGGGUGUCCUCGAUAUCAAAGUAAAGAUCAUGUUGGAUUAGGAUCUUAAAGUAAAGCAGGGCCCCAUGACUCCUUUGCUAGAUCAUGUUACAAUUCAUGCCCCAAAGGAGGAAGAGGAGUUAAUCCAACCUCCUGUUCUGCCUCUAGAGAUUUAAUUUGAAUUCUACAACCUUUCAAAAGGAAUUAGGAUUACAUUUCUUCUUGAUAAGCUUGCGGCAGGUAACAAGCUAAAGUUCUUCUGAUUUAUGUGCUUGUACUAGUCCUAGAUUAACACGAAGGAAGAUUGGGAGUCUUUAGGCCCAUAUCUUAGUUUGUUCCAAUCUUCUCAGGAGCGUUAUUUGUUCUUAUCAUUUGUUUUGGUACCCAACAUGGUUACCCCUUAUUUCGAUAAUUUUUACUGUUUUGUAGAUUUGAUAUUAGUUAUUUGAAUUCGUUUGUAACUUCCAAAGCUAGAAUAGUAGACUCAGAUUGAUUGUCUAAAUUCAUUCAAAAUUCUGAAUAUUAGUUAAUAGAUGCAAUUUGAUCAUUUUUUCGUGUGCUAAGAUGAAUGGUAUGUUCUUCUAUCUCAGUUGUCUUGUAUUUCUUAACGGUGGCUUAUUAGUUGUUGAUACUCUGAGUUCUUAUUCAUCUAAUGAAUUUAACAUGAUGCAGGCGUUCUUCUCGCUAUUGAAAUCCGACCAUAUCAUAUCAACAAGACUUCUGGAGAGAUUGCAUUUCCUUCCAUGAUGUGUGUGUUUAAUAUUUUGCAUAUCAGUUGCCAAUUCAGAAUCCUUUUGCCAUUGCCAAAUGCUUCAAACCAUGUAAUUCUUUAUCGAUUCAGUGAUAAUUUAAGUGAUGGUUCUGAUUAAAGGUUUUCUUUAGUAUCAGUG